RNAcentral lists this ribosomal RNA (253 nucleotides) under uncultured bacterium. RNAcentral describes it as "partial 16S ribosomal RNA". It matches the Rfam family "Bacterial small subunit ribosomal RNA", at positions 524 to 776 of the family's 1533-position model. The record is from RNAcentral.
UACGUAGGGCGCAAGCGUUGUCCGGAAUUAUUGGGCGUAAAGAGCUCGUAGGCGGUUUGUCGCGUCUGCUGUGAAAACCCGGGGCUCAACCCCGGGCCUGCAGUCGAUACGGGCAGACUAGAGUGCGGUAGGGGAGACUGGAAUUCCUGGUGUAGCGGUGAAAUGCGCAGAUAUCAGGAGGAACACCGAUGGCGAAGGCAGGUCUCUGGGCAUUAACUGACGCUGAGGAGCGAAAGCAUGGGGAGCGAACAGG